CCUACGGGAGGCAGCAGUGAGGAAUAUUGGUCAAUGGGCGCGAGCCUGAACCAGCCAAGUAGCGUGAAGGAUGACUGCCCUACGGGUUGUAAACUUCUUUUAUAAAGGAAUAAAGUGAGGCACGUGUGCCUUUUUGUAUGUACUUUAUGAAUAAGGAUCGGCUAACUCCGUGCCAGCAGCCGCGGUAAUACGGAGGAUCCGAGCGUUAUCCGGAUUUAUUGGGUUUAAAGGGAGCGUAGAUGGGUUGUUAAGUCAGUUGUGAAAGUUUGCGGCUCAACCGUAAAAUUGCAAUUGAUACUGGCAGUCUUGAGUACAGUUGAGGUAGGCGGAAUUCGUGGUGUAGCGGUGAAAUGCUUAGAUAUAUGGAAGAACACCAGUGGCGAAAGCGGCUCUCUGGUCUGUAACUGACGCUGAGGUUCGAAAGCGUGGGUAGCAAACAGGAUUAGAUACCCCUGUAGUC
Molecule: ribosomal RNA, 460 nt
Filed under: uncultured bacterium
Lineage: Bacteria
Description: partial 16S ribosomal RNA
Rfam family: Bacterial small subunit ribosomal RNA
Source: RNAcentral